UAAUUGCCCACUAGGAAUUAUAAAUUAUAGUUCUCACGCCCUCUGUUUUAUGUUUUCUUUCAGAGCCUUCCACGCCGGGAGAGGCUAGGGACCGCGGGAAGGGAGUUGCUUCGAGCUAGCUUCCUUCGAGGACGAUUUGAUAGGUGGUCUACCUCUCGUGGUUUUAUUUUGUGAGAGGUUGUGAGUUGUACCCGUUUAUGUAUAGAGACCACCCUUCUUUUGGAUCUUUGUUUUUCUUUUUGAGGAGAUAGUACUGUACUACUUUAUGGCUACUUUUAUUGUUUAGUUAUGUUUCUUUUACUCUGGUUUAGAUGAUAGAACUUUACUCGCUCUAAUAUCAUUAGUUAUCACUAUGCUAUUUGUUCUACUUCUUGCUUUACUUCCGCUUUUGUUGUAGACGCCUUAUAUGUGUAGACAUAUGGCGGGUAUGGGCGCGCUACCGGGAAGGCCUUCGCCGGUCCCGGGGCGUGACAAUCGAAUCCCCGCUCAAAUAACAAAACCCAAAUCACGCGAAAGUAAGGAAGUGUUAUCCACAACUAACUCCCGAUGUUACGUUGUCGGCCGCCAACGUAACCCUCCGCGAAGUUAGAAGCCAUACACUCCGGUCAAACUCUAACUUUUUAGAGUUAUCAUAACCCAAUCAUAAUACUUUCGGUCAUAAGUCAAUUAGAUAUCGUCUCUCGCGAGCCUAAUUCCUAUGGUCCAACCGGCCUAAGGUUUGCUAGGUCCACUAAGACUCAACCCUAGUCUCUGAUACCAAUUUAAGCUGUCAGGCCCCGGGACCGGCGGAGGCCCUCCCGGUGGCGUGCCCAGACCCGCCAUAUGUCUACACAUACAAGUCGUCUACAAUAAAAGCGGAAGUAAAAGCACGAAUAACCUACAACUAGAGAUAUCAGAGCAAGUAUGAUUCUAUCAUCUAUAAAGAAGGAAUACAAAGAUCACAACUAGACCAUAGAAGUAAAACAUAAGGUAGUACAAUAUCUGUCCAAAAAGUACACAAAAGGGGUGGUCUCUAGUACACUGGUACAGCUCUCACCUCUUCAAAAUAAAAACAUCGAGAGGUAGACCACCUAGCGACUCGUCACUCGCUGAAGAGCUAGCUUGAAGCCACGCCCUUCCCUCGGUCCCUAGCCUCUCCCGGCGUGGAAGACUCUGAAAGAAAACAUAAAACAGAGGGCGUGAGAACUAUAAUUUAUAGUUCCCAGUGGGCAAUUACUGACCUCAGCUCAAUGCACCACUAGGCCCCAAAAGAAAAGGGUAAGUAACGACAAUAAUAAUAAACAAUAAAGAGCGAGUAUAAGAACUGCUGAAAGAAAGCAUAAAUGAAAUGCUAUACUGCUAUGUCUCAAGUAAGCAUGAUGUCAUGAUGAUGUAUAUCUACGCUAUCAUAAGAUGAUAUGUCCAAUGCAUACUAAUAUGCCAUAACAUAAUGAACAAGUAAACCUCACGAUGCAAUAUGUCAAUGCAUAAGGAGUAAGCUCUAUCAAAGCAACCCAGUAUACUAUGAUGCAAUGAAUGAAACAGGCAAGUAUACUAUAUAUCCCAAUGCUAUGUCAUGAGCAUGUCAAGUAAUCCAACUACUAAGCCUAUCUAGUAGUGAUUAUUCAUUCUCAACAUUGUGUCGAUUCCCAUUUCCAAUUAAGGACCUACCAAAGGUAGUCCAGCUUGUGCCGCCUAAGUGCCUGUGGUAGCCCAACAUUCCUACUCUUGGAAUGUGUCUGUCCCACUCGACCCCGUAGGCUUCUCAAUACCGCACGAGCGAACAUAGGUCGCAUAGGCUAACUCCGGAGUGCUGGCUUGUAGGGAGCGACCAUCACAAGCAUGUGCGAAUGAGCACAAAUGGCAAGCAAGCGUAGUCAACGUCUCAAGUACCCAAUCAUCAUGUCUCUAACAUGGUACAGUCACUAGCAUCUCGAAGAUCUAGUUCUAAGUCACAAGUGAAGUUCCAAUGUUCUCUAGGUCUAGUGCCCCUUUAUGACACUUAGACAUUCAAUAAAUACGCACAUUCCGCAUUCCUCAAUGGCCCUAUCCA
RNAcentral lists this long non-coding RNA (2032 nucleotides) under Ananas comosus (pineapple). RNAcentral's name for it is "long non-coding RNA (ACOM_LNC037969)". Lineage: Eukaryota; Viridiplantae; Streptophyta; Magnoliopsida; Poales; Bromeliaceae. The record is from RNAcentral.